This 94-nucleotide transfer RNA is filed under the name Armatimonadota bacterium. RNAcentral describes it as "Armatimonadetes bacterium (groundwater metagenome) tRNA-Sec". It matches the Rfam family "Selenocysteine transfer RNA". The record is from RNAcentral. Lineage: Bacteria; Bacillati; Armatimonadota.
GGAGGGCAGUGGGGGCUGGUGCCCCUUCCGGUCUUCAAAACCGGCGGGAGGCCGGUCGGUCUCCGGUAGGUUCGAUUCCUACAGCCCUCCGCCA